RNAcentral lists this small nucleolar RNA (67 nucleotides) under Stegastes partitus (bicolor damselfish). Its description in RNAcentral is "Small nucleolar RNA SNORD58 (ENSSPAG00000008299.1)". It matches the Rfam family "Small nucleolar RNA SNORD58". Rfam says of the family: snoRNA U58 is found in introns 1, 3 and 6 of the ribosomal protein RPL17 gene in humans. Lineage: Eukaryota; Metazoa; Chordata; Actinopteri; Pomacentridae. The record is from Rfam by way of RNAcentral.
CUGCACUGAUGACCUUCUUAGGACACCUUUGGAUCAAAGAUGAAACUAAACUUUCAGUCUGAGCAGC